This 647-nucleotide ribosomal RNA is filed under the name uncultured Novosphingobium sp. RNAcentral describes it as "bacterial SSU rRNA". It matches the Rfam family "Bacterial small subunit ribosomal RNA", at positions 874 to 1520 of the family's 1533-position model. The record is from RNAcentral. Lineage: Bacteria; Pseudomonadati; Pseudomonadota; Alphaproteobacteria; Sphingomonadales; Sphingomonadaceae.
UGGGGAGUACGGUCGCAAGAUUAAAACUCAAAGGAAUUGACGGGGGCCUGCACAAGCGGUGGAGCAUGUGGCUUAAUUCGAAGCAACGCGCAGAACCUUACCAGCCUUUGACAUCCCGCGCUACUUCCAGAGAUGGAAGGUUCCCUUCGGGGACGCGGUGACAGGUGCUGCAUGGCUGUCGUCAGCUCGUGUCGUGAGAUGUUGGGUUAAGUCCCGCAACGAGCGCAACCCUCGUCCUUAGUUGCCAUCAUUUAGUUGGGCACUCUAAGGAAACCGCCGGUGAUAAGCCGGAGGAAGGUGGGGAUGACGUCAAGUCCUCAUGGCCCUUACAGGCUGGGCUACACACGUGCUACAAUGGCGGUGACAGUGGGCAGCAAGCACGCGAGUGUGAGCUAAUCUCCAAAAGCCGUCUCAGUUCGGAUUGUUCUCUGCAACUCGAGAGCAUGAAGGCGGAAUCGCUAGUAAUCGCGGAUCAGCAUGCCGCGGUGAAUACGUUCCCAGGCCUUGUACACACCGCCCGUCACACCAUGGGAGUUGGUUUCACCCGAAGGCAGUGCGCUAACCGCAAGGAGGCAGCUGACCACGGUGGGAUCAGCGACUGGGGUGAAGUCGUAACAAGGUAGCCGUAGGGGAACCUGCGGCUGGAU